AGAACGAACGCUGGCGGCAUGCCUAACACAUGCAAGUCGAACGAGACCUUCGGGUCUAGUGGCGCACGGGUGCGUAACGCGUGGGAAUCUGCCCUUGGGUUCGGGAUAACAGUUGGAAACGACUGCUAAUACCGGAUAAUGACUUCGGUCCAAAGAUUUAUCGCCCAGGGAUGAGCCCGCGUAGGAUUAGCUAGUUGGUGAGGUAAAGGCUCACCAAGGCGACGAUCCUUAGCUGGUCUGAGAGGAUGAUCAGCCACACUGGGACUGAGACACGGCCCAGACUCCUACGGGAGGCAGCAGUGGGGAAUAUUGGACAAUGGGCGAAAGCCUGAUCCAGCAAUGCCGCGUGAGUGAUGAAGGCCUUAGGUUGUAAAGCUCUUUUACCGGGAUGAUAAUGACAGUACCGGAGAAUAAGCCCCGGCUAACUCCGUGCCAGCAGCCGC
Molecule: ribosomal RNA, 443 nt
Filed under: uncultured soil bacterium
Lineage: Bacteria
Description: bacterial SSU rRNA
Rfam family: Bacterial small subunit ribosomal RNA
Source: RNAcentral